Mustela erminea (ermine) is the source of this 140-nucleotide small nuclear RNA. RefSeq annotates it as U4 spliceosomal RNA. The record is from RefSeq and is a predicted model, not a curated record. NCBI's taxonomy places the organism in Eukaryota, Metazoa, Chordata, Mammalia, Carnivora, Mustelidae. The transcript has a single exon.
AGCUUUGCGCAGUGGCAGUAUCGUAGCCAAUGAGGUUUAUCCGAGGCGUGAUUAUUGCUAAUUAAAAAGUGAAGUGGAAUUCAGUGGUAUAUGUGUUCAUCCCUCAUCUUUAUUUACUUACAUUGAAUUGCUUCCUGACA